CCUACGGGGUGCAGCAGUGGGGGAUAUUGCACAAUGGGGGGAACCCUGAUGCAGCGACGCCGCGUGGGUGAAGACGCGCCUCGGCGCGUAAAGCCCUGUCAGCAGGGAAGAAAAUGACGGUACCUGAAGAAGAAGCCCCGGCUAACUACGUGCCAGCAGCCGCGGUAAUACGUAGGGGGCCAGGGUUAUCCGGAUUUACUGGGUGUAAAGGGGGCGCAGACGGCGAUGCAAGCCAGGAGUGAAAGCCCGGGGGCCAAACCCGGGAGUGCUGUUGGAACUGCGUGGCUGGAGUGCACGAGGGGCAGGCGGAAUGCGUGGUGUAGCGGUGAAAUGCGUAGAUAUCAGGAAGAACACCGGUGGCGAAGGCAGCCUGCUGGACUGCAACUGACGUUGAGGCCCGAAAGCGUGGGGAGCAAACAGGAUUAGAUACCCCAGUAGUC
Molecule: ribosomal RNA, 440 nt
Filed under: uncultured bacterium
Lineage: Bacteria
Description: partial 16S ribosomal RNA
Rfam family: Bacterial small subunit ribosomal RNA
Source: RNAcentral